AACUUUCGACAACGGAUCUCUUGGCUCUCGCAGCGAUGAAGAACGCAGCGAAAUGCGCUAAGUAAUGUGAAUUGCAGAAUUCAGUGAAUCAUCGAAUCUUUGAACGCACCUUGCGCUCCUUGGUAUUCCGAGGAGCAUGCCUGUUUGAGUGUCAUUAAAUUCUCAACCCUAUCAGUUUAUUUCUGAUAGUGGCUUGGAUGUGGGGGUUUCUCUUGCUGGCUCAGGUCAGCUCCCCUUAAAUGCAUUAGCUGGUGCACUGUGUGGACUGUCUAUUGGUGUGAUAAUUAUCUACGCCAUGCAUGGAUGUCUGCUUAGCACUGCUUCUAACCGUCUCCGACAAUACAUGACAAUUUGACCUCAAAUCAGGUAGGACUACCCGCUGAACUUAAGCAUAUCAAUAAGCGGAGGCU
RNAcentral lists this unclassified non-coding RNA (410 nucleotides) under uncultured Hymenogaster. RNAcentral's name for it is "sequence contains ITS2". The stretch from base 1 to 154 matches the Rfam family "5.8S ribosomal RNA". Lineage: Eukaryota; Fungi; Basidiomycota; Agaricomycetes; Agaricales; Hymenogastraceae. The record is from RNAcentral.